GACGAACGCUGGCGGCGUGCUUAACACAUGCAAGUCGAACGGUGAAGCUCCAGCUUGCUGGAGUGGAUCAGUGGCGAACGGGUGAGUAACACGUGAGCAACCUGCCCCUGACUCUGGAAUAAGCGCUGGAAACGGCGUCUAAUACUGGAUACGAGAAGGGUCCGCAUGGGCACCUUCUGGAAAGUUUUUCGGUUGGGGAUGGGCUCGCGGCCUAUCAGCUUGUUGGUGAGGUAAUGGCUCACCAAGGCGACGACGGGUAGCCGGCCUGAGGGGGCGACCGGCCACACUGGGACUGAGACACGGCCCAGACUCCUACGGGAGGCAGCAGUGGGGAAUAUUGCACAAUGGGCGAAAGCCUGAUGCAGCGACGCCGCGUGAGGGAUGACGGCCUUCGGGUUGUAAACCUCUUUCAGCAGGGAAGAAGCGAAAGUGACGGUACCUGCAGAAGAAGCACCGGCUAACUACGUG
This 468-nucleotide ribosomal RNA is filed under the name uncultured bacterium. Its description in RNAcentral is "partial 16S ribosomal RNA". It matches the Rfam family "Bacterial small subunit ribosomal RNA", at positions 28 to 507 of the family's 1533-position model. The record is from RNAcentral.